Long non-coding RNA from Octodon degus (degu), 1048 nucleotides. RefSeq lists it as uncharacterized. The record is from RefSeq and is a predicted model, not a curated record. The transcript is spliced from 2 exons. NCBI's taxonomy places the organism in Eukaryota, Metazoa, Chordata, Mammalia, Rodentia, Octodontidae.
UGCGGGGAGAAGUGAUAGUUGCAGGUCGGAUGAGGACCGAGGGAUCCGGCGGGGACAGUCUCCGUGGCCACGGUUCUAGUACUUACAGGUUGCGCGUGGCUCCUCCGUGUCUUUGCUGCAGCCCAAAGCGUUUCCUCGCCUCUGGCCGCAGUCCGGUGGCUUGUGUGUAGCACAGGAGGAAAGACCACGCCGCGCAAGUUCAAGACGUCAGCCAUUCGCGAAGGAGGCAGAUGGGACCGCCUGGGGACUCUUCGAGAUGCCGCAGACCGAACCUCGCCGGCUCCAGCACGUGCUGCUUGAUUCUACCACGUCGCACCGACCGAGUUAACCAAAAUGUGCCCGAAGUAGUCUUCUGUUUGUGCUGUAAACAAUUUCCACAACCCUUUUUUCUUUUUAAAAAAAUUUUAAUUUUAAAAAAUUUUAAAAAUUUGUUAAAAAUUUUAUUUAAAAUAGCACAAAUGUGUCACAGGAACAUUAAUGUAGAUUCGCAGCCUGAUUUAGGUCUCAAUCCGAUGUCAGAGGUCAGAAUUCCUACCUGGAGGGUGCAAGGAAUUGUUUUCUUGCCCUUUCUAGUUUCUAUCUAUUGGCCCUUUUUCUCAGCGCCUGUGGUAUUUCUCUGAACCUUCCCUAUCAAAAGCAGCCGCUAAUAGUUAAAUAAUUGAUAGUAAUGUCAUUUUCAGACCUGUAUCUUCAAUAUCAGCAAAGCUUUUUGCUGUUUUAGAUAAUAGUAUGUUUUGGGGUUUCAGGAAUUAGGACACAAACAUCUUUAGGGGCAGUCGUUAUCUUGUCUACCCAAGGGCUUAAAUUAGGAAAACCAGGUGACUGUUCUGCAAAUAGAUCAAAACUCUGACAAAUACUAAACAUUAGUAGCAUGCUUUAUCUAGAAUAUCACUUAUUUGCUUGCCAGCAGAUAAAAACGUUUAAGAGAAACAUCCAACUCAUCCAUCCACAGAAUGAGAUUUUGCUGUUUAACUUGUGUUUUGUUGUUCUCAUUCAUGACCAUAACAAUGAAGCUAAUAACAGUAACCUAUUUAAAAUGGGUAACUGU